CCAGUGUUAACGCCAAAUUCGAUGUUGUUUCUAAAUAGUAAUAUUUUACCCGAAUUGCAACCACAUAAUAUUGAGGACGGUGACCUUAGAAAACGAGCGAAACACUUGAUGAAAUGCAAAAAAGCGCUUUGGAGACGGUGGACCCAGGAAUAUUUGCGUAGCCUUCGUGAGAGACACCGUUCGAAAGCAGAAUGUAGUGGAGCAGUGCCAACGGUAGGAGAUGUAGUGAUUAUUGCGACAGAUGAGAGAAAACGUGGUCGUUGGCCGUUAGGAAUUGUCGAAGCACUGAUUGUGGGAAAAGAUGGAAAAAUCAGGGGAGCCAAAGUACGUACAGAAGUCUCAAAUGGAGCGUGCCGUGCAGCAUUUGUACCCACUAGAGGUCUCGGUUGACAAGAAAGAACCAGUACCGGCAAUACUCAACCCGAAAGCGGAGACAUUUAGACCGAAGCGGG
Paramuricea clavata is the source of this 452-nucleotide non-coding RNA. The record is from the annotation of a GenBank genome assembly. Lineage: Eukaryota; Metazoa; Cnidaria; Anthozoa; Malacalcyonacea; Plexauridae.